GGAUGUGGCUCAGUGGUAGAGUGCUUGCGUAGCAUGUACAAAGCCCUAGGUUCAAUCCCUAGGACUACCCA
This 71-nucleotide transfer RNA is filed under the name Marmota monax (woodchuck). Its description in RNAcentral is "tRNA.Ala". Lineage: Eukaryota; Metazoa; Chordata; Mammalia; Rodentia; Sciuridae. The record is from RNAcentral.